AUUGAACGCUGGCGGCAGGCUUAACACAUGCAAGUCGAGCGGGGAAAGGUAGCUUCUUGCUACUGGACCUAGCGGCGGACGGGUGAGUAAUGCUUAGGAAUCUGCCUAUUAGUGGGGGACAACAUCUCGAAAGGGAUGCUAAUACCGCAUACGUCCUACGGGAGAAAGCAGGGGACCUUCGGGCCUUGCGCUAAUAGAUGAGCCUAAGUCGGAUUAGCUAGUUGGUGGGGUAAAGGCCUACCAAGGCGUCGAUCUGUAGCGGGUCUGAGAGGAUGAUCAGCCACACUGGGACUGAAACACGGCCCAGACUCCUACGGGAGGCAGCAGUGGGGAAUAUUGGACAAUGGGGGGAACCCUGAUCCAGCCAUGCCGCGUGUGUGAAGAAGGCCUUUUGGUUGUAAAGCACUUUAAGCGAGGAGGAGGCUACCGAGAUUAAUACUCUUGGAUAGUGGACGUUACUCGCAGAAUAAGCACCGGCUAACUCUGUGCCAGCCGCCGCCGUAA
RNAcentral lists this ribosomal RNA (504 nucleotides) under uncultured bacterium. RNAcentral describes it as "partial 16S ribosomal RNA". It matches the Rfam family "Bacterial small subunit ribosomal RNA", at positions 30 to 523 of the family's 1533-position model. The record is from RNAcentral.